GAGGAAAGUGGCGCACGGGUGCGUAACGCGUAUGCAACCUACCUUAAUCAGGGGGAUAGCCCGAAGAAAUUCGGAUUAACACCGCAUAAAAUCACAGUACAGCAUUGUACAAUGAUCAAAUAUUUAUAGGAUUAAGAUGGGCAUGCGUGACAUUAGUUAGUUGGCGGGGUAACGGCCCACCAAGACCACGAUGUCUAGGGGAUCUGAGAGGAUGACCCCCCACACUGGUACUGAGACACGGACCAGACUCCUACGGGAGGCAGCAGUAAGGAAUAUUGGUCAAUGGAGGCAACUCUGAACCAGCCAUGCCGCGUGCAGGAAGACAGCCCUCUGGGUCGUAAACUGCUUUUAUUCGGGAAUAAACCWMUYUACGUGUAGWKWGCUGAAUGUACCGAAGGAAUAAGGAUCGGCUAACUCCGUGCCAGCAGCCGCGGUAAUACGGAGGAUCCAAGCGUUAUCCGGAUUUAUUGGGUUUAAAGGGUGCGUAGGCGGCUUUUUAAGUCAGGGGUGAAAGACGGUGGCUCAACCAUCGCAGUGCCCUUGAUACUGAAGAGCUUGAAUGAACUAGAGGUAGGCGGAAUGUGACAAGUAGCGGUGAAAUGCAUAGAUAUGUCACAGAACACCGAUUGCGAAGGCAGCUUACUAUGGUUAAAUUGACGCUGAGGCACGAAAGCGUGGGGAUCAAACAGGAUUAGAUACCCUGGUAGUCCACGCCCU
Molecule: ribosomal RNA, 717 nt
Filed under: Pedobacter sp.
Lineage: Bacteria; Pseudomonadati; Bacteroidota; Sphingobacteriia; Sphingobacteriales; Sphingobacteriaceae
Description: bacterial SSU rRNA
Rfam family: Bacterial small subunit ribosomal RNA
Source: RNAcentral